This is a long non-coding RNA of Pygocentrus nattereri (red-bellied piranha), 901 nucleotides long. RefSeq lists it as uncharacterized. The transcript is spliced from 2 exons. The record is from RefSeq and is a predicted model, not a curated record. NCBI's taxonomy places the organism in Eukaryota, Metazoa, Chordata, Actinopteri, Characiformes, Serrasalmidae.
UGAAAACAAAGGAGCACAUGGAGUAGUGGGAGCCAACCGUGACAACAAAUAUAGUUUUCAUAGUUUUUCCUGCAGUUUUUUUCUUCUGUAAUUUUCUAUUUUGUCUUAUUUCCAAAUUCAGGAAAAUCUCUACAGCAAUGUGGCAGUAAGAUCUGCAACCAGUGAUGCAGCACCUGAUCCAGACACGUCUAACCAGGACGAUGUUCAUUAUGCCCGUGCUUUACCCCGGAGAGUCAGAAACCCCAGGAAUGCUGAGAGAUCUGUAGUGACAGCUUCUGCCUUUGGGGCUGAAGAGGAGGUUCACUAUGCCAGCGUCCAGCACCGCUAUGAUAAAGUGGUGGAGAUGACUGAAGGAGACAACAUUCAGUAUGCUAGUUUAAGAUUUACUCAUCCUGAUUCUACCAACAGCUCUACAGUUUACAGACUUGAUGAUGUCUCAGUGAUUUACAGCAAAAUGCCAUGAACAACUUUGCAGUUCUGUCCUGGACCAGUUUUAAGACCCAUGGACACAAUUUACAUCAAUGUCUAUGCUAUGGAAGCAGACAGCACUUUGGAGUUCUCCCUCAUUGCUUCAGUGACCAUCAUGCGGAUCAAUCCUCCUGAUUUCAACAGUGUUGUUGCAUUUUGCCAGUGGAGCACUUUAGCAUUAUGCUGUGUGAGGCGUAUAGUAAACGCAUGACUGCUAUAACAGGGACUUUAAUUGUUGUUAUUGUUGCUGGUUGCUCAGUAAGAUUUGUUUGUGUUUUGAGCUUUUUUGUGCUGAGUUGGGAUUAAGUAGAGUAGGUUUGUGUUUUUGUACCGAUCAAGAUAAAGUAGGGCUAGGAGUGACCUGUCUGUGUUUUCAGUUGCUUUUUGAGUGAGCUUUCUGCUUUAUACACUCAAUAAAGAACAUUUUCAAGCA